RNAcentral lists this transfer RNA (68 nucleotides) under chicken gut metagenome. It matches the Rfam family "tRNA". From Rfam's summary of the family: Transfer RNA (tRNA) molecules are approximately 80 nucleotides in length. Their secondary structure includes four short double-helical elements and three loops (D, anti-codon, and T loops). Further hydrogen bonds mediate the characteristic L-shaped molecular structure. tRNAs have two regions of fundamental functional importance: the anti-codon, which is responsible for specific mRNA codon recognition, and the 3' end, to which the tRNAs corresponding amino acid is attached (by aminoacyl-tRNA synthetases). tRNAs cope with the degeneracy of the genetic code in two manners: having more than one tRNA (with a specific anti-codon) for a particular amino acid; and 'wobble' base-pairing, i.e. permitting non-standard base-pairing at the 3rd anti-codon position. The record is from RNAcentral.
UGAUGUGGCUUAGCCGGUAAAGCACCACCUUGGUAAGGUGGAGACCACGGGUUCGAGUCCCGUCAUCA